RNAcentral lists this ribosomal RNA (523 nucleotides) under Alternaria alternata. Its description in RNAcentral is "eukaryotic LSU rRNA". The stretch from base 149 to 302 matches the Rfam family "5.8S ribosomal RNA". The record is from RNAcentral. Lineage: Eukaryota; Fungi; Ascomycota; Dothideomycetes; Pleosporales; Pleosporaceae.
GCUGGAAUCUCUCGGGGUUACAGCCUUGCUGAAUUAUUCACCCUUGUCUUUUGCGUACUUCUUGUUUCCUUGGUGGGUUCGCCCACCACUAGGACAAACAUAAACCUUUUGUAAUUGCAAUCAGCGUCAGUAACAAAUUAAUAAUUACAACUUUCAACAACGGAUCUCUUGGUUCUGGCAUCGAUGAAGAACGCAGCGAAAUGCGAUAAGUAGUGUGAAUUGCAGAAUUCAGUGAAUCAUCGAAUCUUUGAACGCACAUUGCGCCCUUUGGUAUUCCAAAGGGCAUGCCUGUUCGAGCGUCAUUUGUACCCUCAAGCUUUGCUUGGUGUUGGGCGUCUUGUCUCUAGCUUUGCUGGAGACUCGCCUUAAAGUAAUUGGCAGCCGGCCUACUGGUUUCGGAGCGCAGCACAAGUCGCACUCUCUAUCAGCAAAGGUCUAGCAUCCAUUAAGCCUUUUUUCCACUUUUGACCUCGGAUCAGGUAGGGAUACCCGCUGAACUUAAGCAUAUCAAUAAGCGGAGGAA